AUGAACGCUGGCGGCGUGCCUAAUACAUGCCAGUCGAGCGAACAGACGAGGAGCUUGCUCCUCUGACGUUAGCGGCGGACGGGUGAGUAACACGUGGAUAACCUACCUAUAAGACUGGGAUAACUUCGGGAAACCGGAGCUAAUACCGGAUAAUAUAUUGAACCGCAUGGUUCAAUAGUGAAAGACGGUUUUGCUGUCACUUAUAGAUGGAUCCGCGCCGCAUUAGCUAGUUGGUAAGGUAACGGCUUACCAAGGCAACGAUGCGUAGCCGACCUGAGAGGGUGACCGGCCACACUGGAACUGAGACACGGUCCAGACUCCUACGGGAGGCAGCAGUAGGGAAUCUUCCGCAAUGGGCGAAAGCCUGACGGAGCAACGCCGCGUGAGUGAUGAAGGUCUUCGGAUCGUAAAACUCUGUUAUUAGGGAAGAACAAAUGUGUAAGUAACUAUGCACGUCUUGACGGUACCUAAUCAGAAAGCCACGGCUAACUACGUG
RNAcentral lists this ribosomal RNA (496 nucleotides) under uncultured bacterium. Its description in RNAcentral is "partial 16S ribosomal RNA". It matches the Rfam family "Bacterial small subunit ribosomal RNA", at positions 29 to 507 of the family's 1533-position model. The record is from RNAcentral.